Molecule: ribosomal RNA, 964 nt
Filed under: metagenome
Description: bacterial SSU rRNA
Rfam family: Bacterial small subunit ribosomal RNA
Source: RNAcentral
AGAGUUUGAUCCUGGCUCAGAAGGAACGCUGGCAGCGUGCAUAACACAUGCAAGUCGAACGAUGAAGCAUUCUUCGGAAUGUGGAAGAGUGGCGAACGGGUGAGGAACACGUAAGAAUCUGCCCCUCGGUCGGGGACAACUCUUGGAAACGAGAGCUAAUACCCGAUACGCUGUGGAGUGAAAGAAUUUCGCCGAGGGAUGAUCUUGCGUCUGAUUAGCUAGUUGGUGUGGUAAUGGCACACCAAGGCGACGAUCAGUAGCUGGUCUGAGAGGAUGAACAGCCACAUUGGAACUGAGACACGGUCCAAACUCCUACGGGAGGCAGCAGUGGGGAAUUUUCCGCAAUGGACGAAAGUCUGACGGAGCGACGCUGCGUGAAGGAUGACGGCCUGCGGGUUGUAAACUUCUUUUCUCGAAGAAGAAGCUCUGACGGUAUUCGAGGAAUAAGCAUCGGCUAACUCCGUGCCAGCAGCCGCGGUAAUACGGAGGAUGCAAGUGUUAUUCGGAAUGAUUGGGCGUAAAGCGUCUGUAGGCUGUAUAGAAAGUCUUUUGUUAAAUGCCUCGGCUCAACCGAGAUCCAGCAAAGGAAACUUCUAUACUUGAGGGAAGUAGAGGUACAGGGAAUUCCCGGUGGAGCGGUGAAAUGCGUAGAUAUCGGGAGGAACACCAAUAUGGCGAAGGCACUGUACUGGGCUUUACCUGACGCUCAGAGACGAAAGCUAAAGGAGUGAUUAGGAUUAGAUACCCUAGUAAUUUUAGCCGUAAACGAUGGAAACUCACUGCCGAGCGAAAUACAACGAGCGGUGGUCAAGCUAACGCGUGAAGUUUCCCGCCUGGGGAUUACGCUUGCAAAAGUGAAACUCAAAGGAAUUGACGGGGACCCGCACAAGCGGUGGAGUAUGUGGUUUAAUUCGANNCAACACGAAGAACCUUACCAGGGUUUGAAAUCAUUUCAAAACUCCUU